This 549-nucleotide ribosomal RNA is filed under the name uncultured Glomus. Its description in RNAcentral is "SSU rRNA". It matches the Rfam family "Eukaryotic small subunit ribosomal RNA", at positions 548 to 1098 of the family's 1831-position model. The record is from RNAcentral. RNAcentral also lists the same sequence under 1 other name. Lineage: Eukaryota; Fungi; Glomeromycota; Glomeromycetes; Glomerales; Glomeraceae.
UUGGAGGGCAAGUCUGGUGCCAGCAGCCGCGGUAAUUCCAGCUCCAAUAGCGUAUAUUAAAGUUGUUGCAGUUAAAAAGCUCGUAGUUGAAUUUCGGGGUUAGUAGGCUGGUCAUGCCUCUGGUAUGUACUGGUCUCACUGAUUCCUCCUUCCUGAUGAACCGUAAUGCCAUUAAUUUGGUGUUGCGGGGAAUUUGGACUGUUACUUUGAAAAAAUUAGAGUGUUUAAAGCAAGCUAACGCUUGAAUACAUUAGCAUGGAAUAAUGAAAUAGGACGUUCGAUCCUAUUUUGUUGGUUUCUAGGAUUGACGUAAUGAUUAAUAGGGAUAGUUGGGGGCAUUAGUAUUCAAUUGUCAGAGGUGAAAUUCUUGGAUUUAUUGAAGACUAACUACUGCGAAAGCAUUUGCCAAGGAUGUUUUCAUUAAUCAAGAACGAAAGUUAGGGGAUCGAAGACGAUCAGAUACCGUCGUAGUCUUAACCAUAAACUAUGCCGACUAGGGAUCGGAUGAUGUUAAUUUUUUAAUGACUCAUUCGGCGCCUUACGGGAAAC